Non-coding RNA from Ictidomys tridecemlineatus (thirteen-lined ground squirrel), 1528 nucleotides. The record is from RefSeq and is a predicted model, not a curated record. Lineage: Eukaryota; Metazoa; Chordata; Mammalia; Rodentia; Sciuridae.
CCAGCAUCAGCUGAAAUAAUUAUUGCUUUGUGGAAGUUGGAAAAACAAGAUACAGUUGGUCUCAGGGACUCCAGAAAUGUAGGAGCCAGCAUCUGCUCUCCUCUUUCCAUCUCUCUCCUCCUUUUUUGGGCUGAGGAUAAGCUUAGCAGGUGCUCUACCAUGAACCACCCCUUCCAGUCCCUUCAUCCCUCUUGUCUCAGUGUCUCCUUUCUCUGUGCCAGGGUUCUCAUAUAGCUCAAUAUGGUAUUGGGGAAGGGAAAGGUCAUGGCUUCCUCAUCCCAGUUUGGUGACCCCCCAAAGAGAGAAAUCUCUUCUAAUGUCUAUAUAUAAAGACCCAGAGAAGCAUUCCAGUUGGCUGUGCUCAACUCACAUGACCAACAGUGGGCCAAUCUCUUUGCUAGAUUGGCUAGGCCUAGUCCAGGUUCAGUGGCCUGGGGCAGCACUGUGACUGUCUGGUGAGGAACUGGGGAAGGGCAAUGUACCUCCUCAGAGAGGAAGGGAGAGAUGCUGCAGACAAGUGCAACAGUGGCCACAGUCAGCAAUACCUACCAACGGGAGGCCCCUGCUAUGGGAGACUCUGGGCUGAUGUGGGGAAGGAGGGGGUCUGAGUAACAUGUAUUCCGCAAGUGACAAAAUUCAACCUCAGAGAAGCAAAAAUAUCGGGCAUCUCAGAUGGGUAAGAGCAGGUGGCAGGGCCGUCUUCAGGUUUCUUCCCCUCCCCGCCUCUUCUCACAAGCCCUUGGCUGUCCUUAUUGAGGUAACAAUUGCCAUUCUUCUUCCAAACACUGUAUAAACAGUAACAAUGUAUUUACAGCCCCCCUGAGAGCCAGCUGCUGAUGAGCUCUGUGUCCCUGCUCCCUUACAGGGGGAGUGAAUUCCAGCAGGAUGUCAUGGAGCCAAGGAAGGUGGGGUAGGGAGCUGGGGCUCUAGGGUCAGCACUCUGGAGCAGUGCCUGAGCCCUCCACCCCACUCCUCAAUAACCUUAACUCUCCCAGCCACUGGUGGCCUCAGAAAUCUCUGAACAAACUUGAAUGCCCGCACUGAAGGACCAUGCUUGGGCAGCUAUAAGAAUUGGCAGAUCAACUCCAGAGACUGUUGGCCACUGGUGGUGAGGAGACCAAGGCUCAUUGAGUUACCAUGAGAGCAGAAACUGAGAUAGGAAUUUGGGAAUAAAGGAAGAAACACUGAGUCUCAAAAGAAGUGCCCAGAAACCCCUGGAAUGCAGGAGACACUCAUGAAGGACUGAAAUGCAGAGAGCACCCAUGCAGAAUGGCAGCUCCUGAGCACAUGCCUUGGCCCAGGCCCUUGUAACCCAUGAGGGGAAUGUGCAAGUACAGGGCACACUGGCGUGCAGUCACGUAGCUCUACCUGGCUCACCCUGUAGCCAGACCCUAGCAAUAAUCCCUCUAUGAAUAUUCAUCUCCACACCAAAAGGUUGCUGUCUCUCCUCUCCAUCUGAAGACAGCCCAUAUUUUCCCUCGAAUAUGUACCUACUCUCCUAAAUAAACCUAUAUGUCUUUGAAUGGUG